GUGGUUGCUUCAUCAGCACAUAUACUAAAAUUAGAAUGAUACAGAGAAGAUUAGUACAGCCCCUGCAUAAGGAUGACACGUAAAUUUGUGAAGUGUUCCAUAUUUCA
Small nuclear RNA from Pseudonaja textilis, 107 nucleotides. The record is from Ensembl. NCBI's taxonomy places the organism in Eukaryota, Metazoa, Chordata, Lepidosauria, Squamata, Elapidae.